UGGGUCGUCGUCUAGAGGUAGGACAACGGGUUUGGUCCCGUCAGCGGGAGUUCGAGUCCCUCCGACCCAGCCA
This 73-nucleotide transfer RNA is filed under the name Candidatus Saccharimonadota bacterium. RNAcentral describes it as "Candidatus Saccharibacteria bacterium tRNA-OTHER". It matches the Rfam family "tRNA". From Rfam's summary of the family: Transfer RNA (tRNA) molecules are approximately 80 nucleotides in length. The record is from RNAcentral. Lineage: Bacteria; Candidatus Saccharimonadota.